GCUGGUGUAGCUCAUUGGAAGAGCGCUGGCCAUAAGUAUCCAAGUUUUCCGGGCUGCUGCAGGUUCGAUUCCUGCCACCAGUA
Molecule: transfer RNA, 83 nt
Filed under: Corynebacterium sp. HMSC036D03
Lineage: Bacteria; Bacillati; Actinomycetota; Actinomycetes; Mycobacteriales; Corynebacteriaceae
Description: tRNA-OTHER
Rfam family: tRNA
About the family: Transfer RNA (tRNA) molecules are approximately 80 nucleotides in length.
Source: RNAcentral